CUUGCUAAGUUUGAUGGCGACCGGCGCACGGGUGAGUAACACGUAUCCAACCUGCCGAUGACUCGGGGAUAGCCUUUCGAAAGAAAGAUUAANACCCGAUGGCAUAGUUCCUCCGCAUGGUAGAACUAUUAAAGAAUUUCGGUCAUCGAUGGGGAUGCGUUCCAUUAGGUUGUUGGCGGGGUAACGGCCCACCAAGCCUUCGAUGGAUAGGGGUUCUGAGAGGAAGGUCCCCCACAUUGGAACUGGGACACGGUCCAAACUCCUACGGGAGGCAGCAUG
This 279-nucleotide ribosomal RNA is filed under the name uncultured bacterium. RNAcentral describes it as "partial 16S ribosomal RNA". It matches the Rfam family "Bacterial small subunit ribosomal RNA", at positions 76 to 353 of the family's 1533-position model. The record is from RNAcentral.